GAGACUAUAAGUCUCCUGAAGGAACGUUGAAGACGACGACGUUGAUAGGCCGGGUGUGUAAGCGCAGCGAUGCGUUGAGCUAACCGGUACUAAUGAACCGUGAGGCUUAACCUU
Molecule: ribosomal RNA, 114 nt
Filed under: Klebsiella pneumoniae
Lineage: Bacteria; Pseudomonadati; Pseudomonadota; Gammaproteobacteria; Enterobacterales; Enterobacteriaceae
Also listed under: 2 other names
Description: partial 23S ribosomal RNA
Rfam family: Bacterial large subunit ribosomal RNA
Source: RNAcentral